UCGAUCAAACACCUUUCCCAAGGCCACCACUGGUUCCAUCACCACCCCCGCCGCCUCCUAUACUUCUUCCACCACCUUUGAUAAUUCCCCCACCAAUGCCACCCAUAGAUCCAUUCCCAUGGCUGUCCCCACCUGACAUGUUUCUUCCACCUCUGGAAGAUCCGUUCGCAUCAUAUUCACCACCACACAUCCUGUUGCCGCCGCCGAUGCCUCCAGAACUGCCGGGUAAUCCACAAGAGCCACUUCCAAUUCCAUUGGUCAAGCCGCCCGCAACAACGAGCUUUCAAGAACCAUGACCAACCACCUCCCUCCAAUUCCCCUCAUUUUAAAACUCACUCGUCCAUCUUUUUCUGUUCGAUUUAGGAGCUAAUGACUGAAAAUGAGAAAAUCCUGUAACUGACAUAUAUCUCAUUAGCUAGAUUUUCUCUAUGUUUUUUACUUUCCACGUUUCUGUCCAAAUAAUAAACAAAGUAUCUUGAAAGUUUUGAAAAUAGAUUUUUCUCCAUUUGUC
RNAcentral lists this long non-coding RNA (511 nucleotides) under Arachis ipaensis. RNAcentral's name for it is "long non-coding RNA (AIPA_LNC002080)". Lineage: Eukaryota; Viridiplantae; Streptophyta; Magnoliopsida; Fabales; Fabaceae. The record is from RNAcentral.